Molecule: ribosomal RNA, 497 nt
Filed under: uncultured bacterium
Lineage: Bacteria
Description: partial 16S ribosomal RNA
Rfam family: Bacterial small subunit ribosomal RNA
Source: RNAcentral
GAUGAACGCUGGCGGCGUGCCUAAUACAUGCAAGUCGAGCGAACAGACGAGGAGCUUGCUCCUCUGACGUUAGCGGCGGACGGGUGGGUAACACGUGGAUAACCUACCUAUAAGACUGGGAUAACUUCGGGAAACCGGAGCUAAUACCGGAUAACAUGUUGAACCGCAUGGUUCAACAGUGAAAGACGGUUUUGCUGUCACUUAUAGAUGGAUCCGCGUCGCAUUAGCUAGUUGGUAAGGUAACGGCUUACCAAGGCAACGAUGCGUAGCCGACCUGAGAGGGUGAUCGGCCACCCUGGAACUGAGACACGGUCCAGACUCCUACGGGAGGCAGCAGUAGGGAAUCUUCCGCAAAGGGCGAAAGCCUGACGGAGCAACGCCGCGUGAGUGAAGAAGGUCUUCGGAUCGUAAAACUCUGUUAUUAGGGAAGAACAAAUGUGUAAGUAACUAUGCACGUCUUGACGGUACCUAAUCAGAAAGCCACGGCUAACUACGUG